Uranotaenia lowii is the source of this 332-nucleotide long non-coding RNA. RefSeq lists it as uncharacterized. The transcript is spliced from 3 exons. The record is from RefSeq and is a predicted model, not a curated record. Lineage: Eukaryota; Metazoa; Arthropoda; Insecta; Diptera; Culicidae.
CUUCAGUAGCUUCUUUUUGGUGAACGGGACGGCAACAAGGUUUGCCGCGCAACAGCCAGACAGCACCGGAAACACAAGAUCCGGCGUAGGAAAGUCUUGGCAGCUUUAAGAGGGCAGACGAUAGUGACUCCUAGGGCAACCAUUCAUCCAACUAAUUCCUUCCGAUCCGGUCCAAGGAGAAAUCUGGCGCCGAAACCCUUCAUGAGUUGUUCGAAAGGAACUGUCGCCAACAAACAUCGUUCAAUGUACCGGUUCAAAACUUAAAUCAUAGGGAAAAUCGAUAAUGUGAAUGUGAUAAUGUAAUCUAAAUAAAUAAAAUGUUGUAAACCAUA